AUAUUGGACAAUGGGCGCAAGCCUGAUCCAGCCAUGCUGCUUGAGUUAUGAAGGCCUUAUGGUUGUAAAGCUCUUUCACCGGUGAAGAUAAUGACGGUAGCCGGAUAAGAAGCCUCGGCUAACUUCGUGCCAGCAUCCGCGGUAAUACGAAGGGGGCUAGCGUUGUUCGGAAUUACUGGGCGUAAAGCGCACGUAGGCGGAUCGGUCAGUGAGGGGUGAAAUCCCAGGGCUCAACCCUGGAACUGCCUUUAAUACUGCCGGUCUUGAGUUCGAGAGAGGUGAGUGGAAUUCCGAGUGUAGAGGUGAAAUUCGUAGAUAUUCGGAGGAACACCAGUGGCGAAGGCGGCUCACUGGCUCGAUACUGACGCUGAGGUGCGAAAGCGUGGGGAGCAAACAG
Molecule: ribosomal RNA, 397 nt
Filed under: uncultured bacterium
Lineage: Bacteria
Description: partial 16S ribosomal RNA
Rfam family: Bacterial small subunit ribosomal RNA
Source: RNAcentral